Molecule: ribosomal RNA, 468 nt
Filed under: uncultured bacterium
Lineage: Bacteria
Description: partial 16S ribosomal RNA
Rfam family: Bacterial small subunit ribosomal RNA
Source: RNAcentral
GACGAACGCUGGCGGCGUGCUUAACACAUGCAAGUCGAACGGAAAGGCCCUGCUUUUGUGGGGUGCUCGAGUGGCGAACGGGUGAGUAACACGUGAGUAACCUGCCCUUGACUUUGGGAUAACUUCAGGAAACUGGGGCUAAUACCGGAUAGGAGCUCCUGCUGCAUGGUGGGGGUUGGAAAGUUUCGGCGGUUGGGGAUGGACUCGCGGCUUAUCAGCUUGUUGGUGGGGUAGUUGCUUACCAAGGCUUUGAUGGGUAGCCGGACUGAGAGGGUGACCGGCCACAUUGGGAUUGAGUUGAGGCCCAGACUCCUAAGGGAGGCAGAAGUGAGGAAUAUUGCACACUGGGCGGAAGCCUGAUGCAGCAACGCCGCGUGCGGGAUGACGGCCUUCGGGUUGUAAACCGCUUUCGCCUGUGACGAAGCGUUAGUGACGGUAAUGGGUAAAGAAGCACCGGCUAACUACGUG